GCGUGGGAGACGGCUCGGUUGUAAUCUUGGAAAAGACGUCCUGAAUAGCCACGGUAACUCUGCCACGCCCGUACAGUGGCAGCUUACCGGAUUUAUUGGGUUUAGCGUAGGAUUAAGUCGGUUAAAGGUACACUACUGUACUGCACUGUACUGAGUUGAAGGCAUAGAACUCGUGUACGGUAAAUGCUUAAUACGAAGAAUACCGUGCAAGGUCUGGUGCGGGGAUCAAACAGGAUUAGAUACCCUGGUAGUCCGCACAGUAACGAUGUACUAGUGUUUGCAAGAAACCGAUAAGACACCUGGGGUCGCCGGCAACGGAAAAAGGAUGACGGGCGCAAGCGGUGGAUGGGUUAAUUCAUCAGAACUCGCUGAAGUGCGGUGAUGC
RNAcentral lists this ribosomal RNA (385 nucleotides) under uncultured bacterium. RNAcentral's name for it is "partial 16S ribosomal RNA". The record is from RNAcentral.